CGCGGCCUAUCAGCUUGUUGGUGAGGUAAUGGCUUACCAAGGCGACGACGGGUAGCCGGCCUGAGAGGGCGACCGGCCACACUGGGACUGAGGCACGGCCCAGACUCCUACGGGAGGCAGCAGUGGGGAAUAUUGCACAAUGGGGGAAACCCUGAUGCAGCGACGCCGCGUGCGGGAUGAAGGCCUUCGGGUUGUAAACCGCUUUCAGCAGGGACGAAAGUGACGGUACCUGCAGAAGAAGCACCGGCUAACUACGUGCCAGCAGCCGCGGUAAUACGUAGGGUGCAAGCGUUGUCCGGAAUUAUUGGGCGUAAAGAGUUCGUAGGCGGCUUGUCGCGUCCGUUGUGAAAGCUUGGGGCUCAACCCCAAGUCUGCAGUGGAUACGGGCAGGCUAGAGUCAGGUAGGGGAGAACGGAAUUCCUGGUGUAGCGGUGAAAUGCGCAGAUAUCAGGAGGAACACCGGUGGCGAAGGCGGUUCUCUGGGCCUGUACUGACGCUGAGGAACGAAAGCGUGGGGAGCGAACAGGAUUAGAUACCCUGGUAGUCCACGCCGUAAACGGUGGGCGCUAGAUGUGGGGACCUUCCACGGUUUCUGCGUCGCAGCUAACGCAUUAAGCGCCCCGCCUGGGAGUACGGA
RNAcentral lists this ribosomal RNA (637 nucleotides) under uncultured bacterium. Its description in RNAcentral is "bacterial SSU rRNA". It matches the Rfam family "Bacterial small subunit ribosomal RNA", at positions 232 to 886 of the family's 1533-position model. The record is from RNAcentral.